This is a long non-coding RNA of Sapajus apella (tufted capuchin), 1287 nucleotides long. RefSeq lists it as uncharacterized. The transcript has 2 exons. The record is from RefSeq and is a predicted model, not a curated record. NCBI's taxonomy places the organism in Eukaryota, Metazoa, Chordata, Mammalia, Primates, Cebidae.
AAUUUCCCCCAGCCCCGGGACUGAUGGAGCUGCCUCUCAGCGCCUCCUUCCCCGGGAACCAGCAAACCCAGCGCUGCCGAGAGGCGGAUGAUUGACCCAAAUACGCAUAGAGAUACUGGGGGAGGGGAGACACGGCGACACGGUGGCGGCCCCAGACUGGAAGGGCGGGUCACAGAUCCCUCCCCACCCCCCACUCUCAUAGAGCGCGGGCAGGAGGAGCCUCUGGAUCCCGCGUAGCGGACAAACCCCGAAGGCCAGGUUGUGAGUCCCAGGGAGGGAGGUGGAGGGUGGGGGCGGGGCUUGCUCCGGCCCGCCCCCUCCGCGCCGGAGCAGCUUGGGCGCCCCCUGGCGGUCCCCAGCCCCCGCUCCGCUCCUCGUGCGCCCCCCUCCCGCCGUCCUCGACCCCAGCCUGGCCCAGAGACCAGGUCGGUCUCCGCGGACUGACAAACGGACGGAAGGGAGGACGGCCAGCCGCGAGCGCCCGGACGGCAGGAGGGGGCGGGCAGGCGACUGCCGCGGCGUGAGGAGCAGGAGCAGAAUGUUUGGAAUACUUUGUGAUGACCGGAGAUGGAGAAGCCAUUUUCAAACACAAGGUGGAUGAUACAUAUUAAAGAUGGCACAGUUAUAAGACAAAAGGAUCCUGGGGACUGUAUGAUCACAGAGGAGCUGCCAUAUCUGCCCUGGGCUGGCUACAUUAGUGUGAAAAGGAAAAUAAACUGCUAUUUCAAAAGCCACUAUUGACUUCCAAUUUUCCCUCUAACAUAUAAAGUCCUGAGAGGUCAUCACUCCCAUCUUCAUAGUAAGAACAAAAGCUGAACAAAUUGAAAAUCAAUAACCUUUCUUAGAUCCCUCAGAGAAUUGAAGUGACAGGGCAAACUGCCACUCAGAAAACUGGAGAAAGAAGGAGAAUAAGAAAAUUAUAACUAAGAUCAAAUUACCUCAUGCUGCUGGAGUCAUAAACUGGUAGAAGUACUUAAGCAGUAGCUCUGACAAAUUGUUAAAGGAUGAGUGUGGACUAGCUUGAGAAUAAAAACCUCCUCAGGUCCUGGUCUUAGGGAUGGUACCAUACUUUCAUGGGUUUUCAUCCUCAGGACCCAGUCUUGGGGAUGCUACUACACUGUCAUGAGGUUUACUUCCAGGAACCCCACCAGAUUCUCACUGUAAAGAUGCAAGAAAAAUAUUCUCCUCUUUCUGGGGGAUGGAAAGAAGUAAUCAUUUAAAAAUAUACCCAGAUUAUUCCUUCCAUCUCAAGGGAAGAUGUCGGAGCCUUAUCUGACCUGGGAAAAG